GAUGAACGCUAGCUACAGGCUUAACACAUGCAAGUCGAGGGGCAUCAGGAAGAAAGCUUGCUUUCUUUGCUGGCGACCGGCGCACGGGUGAGUAACACGUAUCCAACCUGCCCUUUACUCGGGGAUAGCCCUUCGAAAGAAAGAUUAAUACCCGAUAGCAUAAUGAUUCCGCAUGGUUUCAUUAUUAAAGGAUUCCGGUAAAGGAUGGGGAUGCGUUCCAUUAGGUUGUUGGUGAGGUAACGGCCCACCAAGCCUUCGAUGGAUAGGGGUUCUGAGAGGAAGGUCCCCCACAUUGGAACUGAGACACGGUCCAAACUCCUACGGGAGGCAGCAGUGAGGAAUAUUGGUCAAUGGGCGUUAGCCUGAACCAGCCAAGUAGCGUGAAGGAUGAAGGCUCUAUGGGUCGUAAACUUCUUUUAUAUAAGAAUAAAGUGCAGUAUGUAUACUGUUUUGUAUGUAUUAUAUGAAUAAGGAUCGGCUAACUCCGUGCCAGCAGCCGCGGUAAUACGGAGGAUCCGAGCGUUAUCCGGAUUUAUUGGGUUUAAAGGGAGCGUAGGUGGACUGGUAAGUCAGUUGUGAAAGUUUGCGGCUCAACCGUAAAAUUGCAGUUGAUACUGUCAGUCUUGAGUACAGUAGAGGUGGGCGGAAUUCGUGGUGUAGCGGUGAAAUGCUUAGAUAUCACGAAGAACUCCGAUUGCGAAGGCAGCUCACUGGACUGC
RNAcentral lists this ribosomal RNA (719 nucleotides) under uncultured Bacteroidales bacterium. RNAcentral's name for it is "bacterial SSU rRNA". It matches the Rfam family "Bacterial small subunit ribosomal RNA", at positions 28 to 737 of the family's 1533-position model. The record is from RNAcentral. Lineage: Bacteria; Pseudomonadati; Bacteroidota; Bacteroidia; Bacteroidales.